Molecule: long non-coding RNA, 369 nt
Organism: Clarias gariepinus (North African catfish)
Lineage: Eukaryota; Metazoa; Chordata; Actinopteri; Siluriformes; Clariidae
Exons: 3
Source: RefSeq, a predicted model, not a curated record
AAAGAUGUGGUGCUUCUUCUGCUUGCCUACUUUGAUGAAAAGGAAGAAAUUAUGUUUCAUUAUGUGGAAGAUUCUUGCCUUGUUGAAGAUGUGGAGGUAGACAAAUUACCAGCAACACCCUGCAUCAUUGUCUGUGGAUCUUCCUGCUAUACAUCAAACCUAUUCAUGCUGAGUAUCGACCAAAAGAUCACCACUCCACACAUUCCUACAUUUAUCUCUGCAAUAUGCAUGAUGUUUCGCAGUUAUACUGUUUUAACAUUCAUUAUUUUUUGGAACUGUGUUCUACUCUGGAGUUCAUGCAAAGGUGCUUCUUCAGCAUAAAUCCAGAGAAGGGCACCAAAGUUGAAUCGAGAAAAAACAAGAAACAGC